Molecule: long non-coding RNA, 282 nt
Filed under: Lathyrus oleraceus (garden pea)
Lineage: Eukaryota; Viridiplantae; Streptophyta; Magnoliopsida; Fabales; Fabaceae
Description: Pisum sativum (pea) long non-coding RNA (PSAT_LNC033045)
Source: RNAcentral
AAAAACAAGAAAGGAAUCAAUCUAGGAACAACUAGAAAGAUACAAUCAAACAAAUACUCAACCCGAUGAGGAUAUAACUCAGGGGAGUAAUUCCAUCCAGUUACACAACUGGGGAGGAAACUGAAACAAUAAUCAUCCACGAGGACAUAACUCAGUGGGGAAUGAAGAAGAUAGACACUCUCUAUUGGGGAUCUUAUCAUGGGAUGAUAUGAAACUCCGUGGGGAACAACCACCAAACAGAUACACAUCAAUCAAGCAUUCUCUUCUAACUACUGAAGAGAC